UCCCAUCCCUCAUCUGUGCCGGGUCUUCACCAUUCCCUUUGACCAACUCUCUGAGGCAGAGUGCUCUGUCCUCAGUAAGGGCCUCACCUUUGUCCCCCUUCGCCCACACCUCAGCGAGUUCCGCGUAUGCCAUGAUGCCGAACUCUUCUUCCGUUGGCUCCGUCUCUAAACUUACUUCUUUGGCAAGGACUCUCCUACCCCCGCCGAUGACCCCUUAUCCCGUCUUCAACCCUCCUCCUCUUCAUGGACACCCCACUCUGGUCUUCUGCCUGCUCUGGAUUUCUUUAUUGCUAAUUGCCGACGGGACAUCAACCAUCUUGACUUCACCACACCCUGUUCCAAUUCCAACCUCACUCCUUCCGAACGCUCUGCUCUCCGCUCCCUCCGCACCAAUCCCAAUCUCACUAUAAAACCUGCUGAUAAGGGGGGAGCUGUAGUUGUCUGGCGUACUGACCUCUACCUGGCCGAGGCACAGCGACAACUCUCUGAUACCUCCUCUUAUUUACCCCUUGAUCAUGACCCCACUAAGGAGCACCAGGCCGUUGUCUCCUAUACCAUCACCAACCUUAUCAGCUCUGGGGAUCUCCCAUCCACUGCCGCCAACCUCAUAGUUCACACACCCCGCACUUCCCAUUUCUACCUCCUACCCAAGAUCCACAAACCUGCCUGUCCAGGUAGACCUAUUGUCUCAGCUUGCUCCUGCCCCACUGAACUUAUUUCUGCAUACCUUGACACUGUUUUAUCCCCCCUUGUUCAAUCCCUUUCCACCUAUGUUCGGGACACUUCUCACGCUUUGAAUUUUUUCAAUGAUUUUAAGUUCCCUGGCCCCCACUGCCUUAUUUUCACCAUGGACAUCCUGUCCCUAUAUACCUUCAUCCCCCACCAGGAAGGUUUCAAAGCUCUCCACUUCUUUUUGGAUUCCAGACCUAACCAAUUCCCCUCUACCACCACUCUCCUCCAUCUAGCGGAAUUAGUUCUUACUCUCAAUAAUUUCUCCUUUGGCUCCUCCCACUUCCUCCAAACCAAGGGUGUAGCCAUGGACACCCGCAUGGGUCCCAGUUAUGCCUGCCUUUUUGUUGGCUUUGUGGAACAGUCCAUUAUCCAAGCCUAUACGGGUAUCCAUCCCCUUAUUUUCCUUCACUAUGUUGACGACUGCAUUGGCGCUGCCUCCUGCACGCAUGCUGAGCUCGUCGACUUCAUUCACUUUGCCUCCAACUUUCACCCUGCCCUCAAAUUAACCUGGUCUAGUUCUGACACCUCCCUCCCCUUUCUUGAUCUUUCUGUCUCCAUCUCUGGAGACGGCUUAUCUGCUGAUAUCUAUUAUAAGCCUACAGACUCUCACAGCUCCCUGAACUAUUCCUCUUCCCACCCUGUCUCUUGCAAAAAUGCUAUCCCCUUCUCACAAUUCCUCCGUCUCCGCCGCAUCUGCUCUCAGGAUGAGGCUUUUCAUUCCAGGACGAAGGAGAUGUCUUCUUUUUUUAAACAAAGGGGCUUCCCUUCUUCCACCAUCAACUCUGCUCUCAAAAGCAUGUCUCCCAUUUCCUGCACAUCUGCCCUCACCCCAUCCACCCACCACCCCACUCGGGAUAGGGUCCCCCUUGUCUCAACCUACCACCCCACCAGCCUCCAGAUCCAACGUAUAAUUCUCCGUAACUUCCGCCACCUCCAACGGGAUCCCACUAGCAAGCACCUCUUUCCCUCCCCCCCUUUCUGCUUUCCACAGGGAUCGCUCCAUACGCGACUCUCUUGUCCACUUGUCCCCCCCCCCCACCCCUUCCCACCAAUUUCCCUCCUGGCACUUAUCCUUGUAAACGGAACAAGUGCUACACCUGCCCUUACAGUUCUUCCCUCACCACCAUUCAGGGCCCCAGACAGUCCUUGCAGGUGAGGUGACACUUCACCUGUGAGUCGGCUGGUGUGGUAUACUGCGUCUGGUGUUCCCGGUGUGGCCUUUUAUAUAUUGGUGAGACCCGACGCAGACUGGGAGACCAUUUCGCUGAACACCUACGCUCUGUCUGCCAGAGAAAGCAGGAUCUCCCAGUGGCCACACAUUUCAAUUCCACAUCCCAUUCCAUAUCUGAUAUGUCUAUCCAUGGCCUCCAUGAACAACACCUUAUAUACCGGUUGGGUAGCCUCCAACCUGAUGGCAUGAACACCGAUUUCUAACUUCUGUUAAUGCUUCUCCUCCCCUUCUUACCCCAUCCCUAAUAUAUUUUUUUUUCCCCUUCGCCUUUUUUUCUCUCUGCCCAUCACUCUGCCUGUUCUCCAUCUCCCUCUGGUGCUUACCCCCCCCCCCCCCCCCGCUUUCUUUCUCCCUAGGCCUCCCGUCCCAUGAUCCUUUCCCUUCUCCAGCUCUGUAUCACUUUUGCCAAUCACCUUUCCGACUCUCAGCUUCACCCCACCCCCUCCGGUCUUCUCCUAUCAUUUCGCAUUUUCCCUUCCCCCCCACUACUUUCAAAUCUCUUACUAUCUCUCCUUUCAGUUAGUCCUGACAAAGGGUCUCGGCCCGAAAUGUCGACAGUGCUUCUCCCUAUAGAUGUUGCCUGGCCUGCUGUGUUCCACCAGUGUGUGUUACAGUCACAUUGUACUAUUUUUUCCCGGCAUUAUGUGAUCAAGAAUUGAUUAUAUUUUGCUGGAGUGAAAGUCAAUAAUGACAAUUUCCAGUGCUGGAUAUGCAUUUAAUGCCACCAGUCUUCAUGCGAUGCUAUUUUACAGUUUCUCUUGGUGAAACUCAGUCACAUUGUUCCAAAAUGCCUCAAGCACUGGUCAUUCAGGGACUAUGUGGAUUUCCACAAUAUUGUUUGCUGUGCAGCUGUACAAUUUAAUGGGACAGUUCAGUGUCUUCAGAGUCUGAAGUUUAACAAGGUUGUCAUCACUGAAAUAUGCAGACUAAACUGUAGGCUUGUACCAAUGCUGGAUUUCACUGGCAUUUAAGGUCAGGUUCCCAGUCAUAAACACAACACAUCUACAAAUGCUGGAAAUCCAGAGUGACACACAUCAAAUGCUGGAUGUACUCAGUAGGGGAAUAAAUAGUCGACGUUUCAAGCUGAAAACCUUCAUAAGGCCAUCAGUGGUGGGAGACAGUACAAGCUUGUGCUGUCAGGACCAAGUAUUUCUGCUUCCAGAUCUCUCCUUGACGUUUAACAUUACAAUAACUAUUUAAAAUUACAGGGACAUUUCAAAUACUUUUAGCUCCUUUUUUUAAACAAAAACUGACCAUUCUAGCAUGAGCUCUGAUAGAAUUCCUUGAAAUUACAAAAUACUCGUAUUCUUACAACCUUGGAGCAAAAUACAGUGCCUUAGAAACCUUUGUGUUUGACACACAGAGAGAAAUUGUAAACAUGACAGAAUAUUUCCUACUGUGUGGAUUACUUGCGUCAAUGUUGCCUCAUUCCACCGUGGCCAUCUCAGUGAACACUGCCAGAAAUGACAACCUCGUGCUUGCGCCACCUCGGUUGGAUUGCACCAGCUACUUAUCUUUAGACAGGAAAAAUUCAUCAUGGCAAAAUGUAUUUCCAUUAACCAGCAUUACAAAUGUUAAGGAAUUGGGAUAUCAAAAAAGUCUUGCAGUCAACCUGCUUACUGAAUCUGUUACUAGUGUUAAAUCCACAAGUGGUGGCUAGAGAUAAAGGCAACCUAACAUUUCAAUUAGGGUAACUAACACACAGAGGCAUAAUUAGUAAUUAGACUAAAGAAAACUUAAUUAACUAUUUGGGAUCAUUUAACAUAAAUCUAAUGAAGCAGUCACCAUUCUGAAUCAAGUCCUUGCACCAGUGGUACUUGCACUCACAGACAGUCAUUGGGGAAGAGAUGUCAUACUUGUGUUUAAGGUGAUUUCUCAGUUGUUCUGAGGGCCCUGCCAACAGGAGAAGCCAUUAUGAUAGGAGUGAGCUAAUGUGACUCAUGGAAUAUUGAUUCUGAUCUUUGGAUCUCUUAUCCUAAUUUUACAUUACUGAAAGCAGGUCAAUCGGAUAAGAUAUGUGAUGAUAUGACAUGGAUUUUUUCUCUCCAAGUGUUAUGCUACUGUCUAGCUUCAAAUAAUUUCCUGUUUUUCAGUAAUGAAAUGAGUAUUUCCUUAUACAUUCAUGCAUUGAGUAACAAUUAUUUGACCUAGGAGGCGUCUCUGCUGAUGGAGACCCUAUGACUCAGUGUCAUACACACCCACAGUUGCCUCAAGCUGCACGUCUGAGCAAUCUGUUGAGGUAUUGCUGAAGUUCUUUAAGUAGCCAGUCCAGAGGCAAGACUGAGGAGCCUGAUUAUUGAUCUCAAGAGAAGGAAACUGGAGGUCCAUAAGCCAGUCCUCAUCAGAGGAUCAGAGAUGGAGAGGGUCAGCAACUUUAAGUUCCUUGGUGUUAUCAUUUCAGAUGAUCUGUCCUGGGCCCAGCAUGUAAGUGCCGUUAUGAAAAAAGUUGGUGAAGAUUUGAUAUGACAAACUUCUGCAGAUGUGUGGUGGAGAGUAUAUUCAUUAAUUUCAUCACAGCCUAGUAUGGAAACACCAAUGCCUUGAAUGGAAGAUCCUACAGAACAUAGUGGAUAUAGCCCAGUCCAUCACAGAUGUUGGAGCAUACAAAUAAAUCAGAUCAGAAAAUGCUUCAGUCUUUUCCUGCCUCAUCUUUUCUACAAGGAAGUACUGUAUAUAUGACAACAGAAACUUUCAAGCAUUAAUAUCAAAAGCCUUGGUAAGGACUAUUUUCACUUUGCCUUAUGCAUACAAAAAUACAAUUUUCUCCACCUUUAUCAUAUCUAUACAAAUGACCUUCAGCUUCCAGACAAGCACUUCCAAAAUGUUUUCCUUUUUCAUUAACCAUGGCUCCUCUCUACCAUGUUGUAUUCCCUGAAGUUUGAGACAGCAAUGGGUCCUAUUGAAGGUAGAAAAUGAAGAGAUCACAAAGCAAAUGGUGCACUGAACUGUUCCCACUGAACUGGACUCACUUUCAGGGACAAUUCAUCUCAAGUUCAGUAUUUUAUUAUUAUUAUUAUUAUUAUUAUUAUUACUGUUAUUAUUUUCUUUUUGCAUAUUCACAAUUUGUUGACUUUUGCAGACUGGUUGCUUGCCCUGUUAGUGUAGUCUUUGAAUUGAUUCUAUCACAGUAAUUAGAUCUAUUAAGUAUGCCUGCAAGAAAAUGAAUCACUGGCUUGCAUGUGGUGACAUAUGUAUAUAUACUUUGAUAAUAAAUUUACUUUGAACUUUAAAUUUGAAGAUAUCAACAAUAAACUUGAAUGUUACAAUGAAAAUGAAGAUUUGGAGGACACAAUUGUGAAUAGCAUUGCUCCAAGACAGUCCACUAUCUACCCUAGAUGUCCGCAUUGAUUUUGUUAAUUUACAGUCAAUUGAAAAAUGCAACAGGUGAAUUCCUCCACCAAUAACUAUUAAGAACGAAUACACAGCUUUAUUCUACUGUGGUAGUAUUGAUAGGUUCCUAAUUUGUUCUGUAUUUCAUUUAAAUAUAUUAUUUGUUACUCAGUUAAAUGAUAGUUUGUAUCUUUUGUACCUUUUAACUAUUUCCAUUAAACUUCAGAUAAUUGGGGCAGCCAUUUAGUUUGCCUAAGAUAUACUGGUGUGUCCAUGGUAUAACAAAGAUAUUCUGUUUAUUCUUUCUAUCUCCUAUCUGCACACUUUGUAACUUAAAACUAUAUUGUCACAUUCCUAGGUCUGCUGACAGGUCUUUAAGUUCAAGUUCGAGUUUAAUUAUCAUUCAACCAUACACAGGAAUACAGCCAAAUGAAGCAGCCUUCCUCUGGGCCCAGGGUGCAAAGCAUUGUACUAACAGUCACACACACAGCACAUAGAAUUAUGUUAGCAGAAAAACAUACAGCAACAAAAAACUAACAUAAAAACCAAAUAAUACAGUCCAGGUCCCUGAGUGUCAUGGCCCAUGGAUUGAUGGUGCAUGGAUGUUCUCCUGGAGCCACAUUUCUGCAAGAACAGCCCAUAGCAGUUCCUCAUCUUGUGCAAAUGCUGAUUCACUCCAGUUUGGGUCCCCAGGAGCACACACUGGAGAGCAGCAUGAAAGGCAAAAGUCAGCCCCAACUCAGUAUGGAAUCCAACGGCACACAGCCCGCUACGGCAUCUACUUCACCAACAACCACAACAGAUGACCCCAAACCAAAAAGGUCCUGUCCACACUACAACAAAUACAAACACUGCAGCUCCCCAUCCAUCAGACUCACCAAUGAACCAGUGAAUCAGAAUCACGGUACUUCACAUCACCAAUGUCCAACAGGGACUUGUGAUCACAAGAAAAACAUCCAAGCUAAUUACUUCCAUUGGAUAGUGCACCGACUGUUAUGCCUUCUUCCCCAGGUGACUGAAGCAACACGGUGCACAAGUCCAGCUCCACCACUCGCUGAUGGGGUUGACCUGCUAUAUUGAUGUUCUUAAUAUCCAGCAGCUUCUUGUCAUUGUAAAACAGAUAUCAAGGACACACAAUCUCACCUUUGUUUGAACCCAACAAGGCUGCUGCAUUGGAACGCGCCACCAUCUUACCGAAGUCUUUCAGCGGAUGCAUUAACUCUGCUUCUCAUUCCACAGGUACUGUCUAACCGUCUGAGUGUUUCUGGCAUGUUUCCCUCAGACUUCCAGUACCUAAUUAUUGUUUUUGAUUUUAUUGACUUGGUUAACUUUAUUCAGGUAUGUGCAGGAAGCCUUAGCGUGUGUUUUUACAUCUCAUUUUUCUUGCCUUAUUAAUUUUUAGUUAUUCAUUUGUUUUUAAUUUUCUACCCAAUCUUCCAAUCAGCACCUUCAGCAAUUACGUUUUUCUUUAAGUUGGAUAAAUUCUGGGAAUGUUCAGGGAAUCAGUCGCAUCAGUGGAGAGAGAAACAGAGUUAAUAUUUCAGGUGUCUUUAGAAAUGAGGGUUUUAGUGAUGGUCUUAAACAAUGCCAUAGAUUCCACAACGGUUCCAGCGGAUUAGAAAGCAGAAAAUUUAACACUACGAGUUAAGAAAGAAGAACUAAGAUAAAUGGGAAGUAGCAGAUCAUGUGGUCAGGCAUCAGUUGUUAAUAAAAUAAUGCAGUCCGUUGUUAUGAACAUGAUAAGAGAAAAUAUAAACAGGAGAAAGUCUGCAGGUGCUGGAAAUCCAAAACAGCACACACAAAAUGCUGGAUGCAUGGAACGGAAUAAGGUGUCAAUGUUUUGGACCAAGAUCCUUCUUCAGGACAGGACUAGAAAAUUUUGAGUUUUCAAUUAGGAAGAGUCAAUGUGAUUUAUGAAAAUAAAAUAGUGACAGACCUUUUAGACUUAAUGAUGUAAAUAACUGAGAAUAAGUGAGAAUCAAUGAAUGUAGUCCAUUUUAAAGAUGUAAAAUAAACCAACACAGUAAAGAUUAUUAAACAAAGUGAAGACUCAUAGAAUUGCUUGUGAUGUAUUAAUAUUCAUAGAGAAUUGGUUAAAGGAGAGAAAACAGAGAGAGGGAAUAAGUGAAUAUUUAAAAUAGGCGACUAUUAUCCAGUCUUCAUUUUUACAAACUCUGCUGACAACCCAGACGAAAUGAAAGUACCCAAGUUGGUUGAAAAUUUAACCUUGUGUGGAAAGGGAACUGUGGAGAAAGUAGAGAACAUGUGCAAGUACACUGAAUGGACAAUAAAUUAGAAUGUGGAGUACAAUGAGUAAAAAAGCAAGGAUUUUCACUUUGAUUGGAAAAUUAUGGAAAAUAGAAUAUAUUUCAGAUAGUUUGAAACAGAUCAAUGUUACUGUACUACAGGAUCUUGCAGAGCUCCUUCUGGAAACAAAAAGUUAAUGUAGAAGGCCCACGUUCUAAUAUGAUAAUACUGAAUGGCAGAACAGACCUGAGUGACCCCAGCUUUUGAAUUUUGUAUUAUUGUGUGUCAUUCUUAGGUGAGGUGUUGAAUUGCAAUUUGCUGCUGAUGUUGAACAUAUCAGAUGGGUCCUAGGAACCCCCAUCUUCCCUGAUCACCCCAACCCUUCCCUCUGCAACUCUGUUCCACCUUCUGAUCCAUCUCUAAUCUUUGCCCUUUCUUCACCAUUCCCUCCAACCUUCCACUCUCUGAGGCAGAACGUUUUGUCCUCAGCAAGGACAAAACCUUUGUCCCUCUUCUCCUGUACCUCAGGGAGUUCCAUGCCUGCUGCAUGCUGAGCUCUUCCUCCAUUGCCUCCAUCUCUGAGUUCACGCCAUUGGCAAGAAUUCCAUCCACACCCUGCACCAAUGAUCCCUCUUCCUCUUCCUGGACACCCCACUCCAGUUCCCUGCCUGGUCUAGAUCGUUUCAUCUCGAAUGCUGACGAGACAUCAACUGUCUCAACCUCAGCACUCCACUCUCUUGAAUCUUAUCCCUCUGAAUGCACCAAUCCCAACCUUGCCACCAAACCCGCAGACAAAGGGGUUGCUGUUGUAGUGUGGCGGACUGACAUCUACUUUACCGAGGCCAGGCAGCAAAUCUCAGAUACCUCCUCUUACCUACCCCUUGAAGAGGACCCCAUCCAGACCAUCAGAAAAAUGUCAUAGAUGCCAUCACUGAUCUCAUCAACUCUGGAGAACUCUCACCCACAGCCAGUUACCUUACCCAACAUUCCUCACUUCUACCUCCUACCCAAGAUCCACAAACUGGACUGACCAGGUAGGCCAAUGGUCUCUGCCUGCUCCUGCCCCACUGAAUUUGUGUCCUCAUACCUCAACUCCAUUCUAUCCUCCUUGAUUCAGUCCCUUCCACCUAUAUCCGUGACAGUUCUCAUGUUCUCGAUCUCCUCACUAACUUGCAAUUCUCCAGCCCUGUCCCCCUCAUUUUCACCAAGGAUAUCCAAUCCCUAUACACUUCUACCUUCCAUCUCGAAGGCCUUAUAGCUCUUUGCUUCUUUGUCAAUAAAAGAACCAAUCAGUUCCCCUCCACCACCAUGUUCCUCCAUCUGGCAGAACCGGUUCUCACCCUCAAAAAUGUUUCCUUCGGCUCCUCCCACUUUCUCCAGACUCAAGGGGUACCCAUGGGCACCCACACGGUCCUCAGUCUAUGCCUGCCUUUUCACUGGCAAGGUAGAGAGGUCCAGGGUCCAAGCCUUCCCCGGUAAUGUUAACUCUUCCUCUGGUACAUUGACGAUGAUGUUGGUGUUGCAUCAUGCACCCACAUUAAGCUUGUCGAUUUCUUCAACUUUGCCUUCAACUUCCACUCUGCCCUCAAAUUCACCAUGCAGUUUUGAAGCCUCCUCCCCCUUUCUUUGUCUCUCUGUCUCCAUCACUGGAGAUGAACUGUCGACUGACACGUUUUAUAAACCUACUGAUUCCCAUGCUUCUCUUGGCUAUAUCUCUUCCCGCACUGUCUCCUGUAAAAGUACCAUAGCCUUUCCAAGUUCCUUCGUUUCUGCCACAUCUAUUCCCAGCAUGCAGCUUUCCUUUCCAGGAAUCAGAGAUGUCCUCCUUCAAAGAAUAGGGCUUCCUCUACCAUCGAGGCUUCUCUCAUUUGCAUUUUCUCCAUUUCCCAAUCAUCUACACUCAACCCAUCUUCCCUCCGCCUUAACAGUGAUAGAGUUCUUCUUGUCCUUACCUACCACCCCGUGAGCCUCCACAUCUUACACAUCAUUCUUUGCAACUUCUGUCAUCUCCAAGAGAAUCUUACCAUUAAACAUAUCUUUGCCUACCUCUCUCUCUCCACUUUCUACAGGAAUUGUUCCCUCUGUGAUUCCUUUGUCCGUUUCACCCUCCCCACUGAUCUCCCUUCCGGCAAUGCCCCUGCAAGCAGCCUAAGUGCUACUCCUGCCCCUACACCUCCUCCCUCACCUCCAUUCAGGGCCCCAAACAGUCCUUCCAGGUGGGAUAGUGCUCCCGGUGUGGGCUCCUCCACAUUGAAGAGACACAUUGGUGAGGCAGAUCAGCUGGUUGGGAGGUGUUGCAACAAUUGCAUUGUACUCCAUGUCAUUAAGACCAAGAGAUUGAUUGUGGACUUCUGGAAGGGGAAGUUGAGGGAACAUGCAUCAGUCCUCAAUCAGAAGUGGAAAGAAUGAGCAGUUUCAAGUUCCAAUGUGUCAAUAUCUCUGAAGAGAUCUAUCCUGGACCCAACGUAUUGAUGUAAUUAUAAAGAAGGCACAAUAUUAGGAGUUUGAGGAGACUUGGCAUGUCACCAAAGACUCUCGUCAAUUUCUAUAAAUGUACUAUGGGGAGCAUUCUAACUGGUUGAAUCAUCAUCUGGUAUGGAGGGGCCAAUGUACAGGAUUGGAAAAAGCUGCAGAAAGUUACAGUUUCAUCCAGCUCCAUCAUGAGCACUAGACUCCGCCACAAUGAGGAUAUCGUCAAAAGAAUAUGCCUCUAGAAGGCAGUAUCCAUUAUUAAGGACCCCCAUCCCCCAAAACAUGCCCUCUUCUCAUUGCUACCAUCAAGGAGGAGAUACAGGAGCCUGAAGCCACACACCCACUGUUUUAAGAACAGCUUUUUCCCCUCCACUAUCAGAUUUCUGAAUGUACACUACACUAAUUUUUUGCUCUUUUUUGCACUACAUAUUCAAUUUAUUUUUAACGUUUAUAGUUGUUAUUGUAGUUUAUAGUCUUUUCAUGUAUUGCAAUGUACUGCUGCUGCAAAACAACACAUGCCAGUGAAAUUAAACCUGAUCGAAGUCAGACUGCAAACACAACAGUUACUAUAUUUUCAAACAGAACGGGUGGUGCACCUCAGAAAAAUUUAUUGUACAAGAAGCACAUCAACCAUUUAAGAACUGUGACAAAUUGCUAAAUACAGUCGUAUUUCAGUAAAACAGUUAACACAUCACAACACUGUCUGUAGAAGGUAGGGGCCUAAUUAAAAUUAGUCAGAGGUGUAUUUCCUUAGCCAUUCAAAAUUUCCGAGGAAUCAUCGUGUAAAACCUGGAUGAUUUAAACAUUUUCAUGGUAAGUAGGAGAAUGUACCAGCAGUCAGGAGUGUAUCAAUUGUUUUCUGAAAUUAAUGAGGAAGAUUCAUUGUGAAAUCUUGAUAUCUUCUUUGGCAAAAUUGAAUGAAAUGACUAAUUUACAUUAAAGAUGUUCUAACUUCAAAUCAGCGCUCACAAAAACAAUUCUCACUUGCAUUACUACUAAAGUGAUGCAGUAUAAAUCUAGUUUAUAUUACAGUUUCAAUAAUAUAAAACAAAGUCUCCUUUAACUGAACCUACAUCUGUAAUAUCUACCAUUGAAAACUCAGAGUUAUCGGCUAUUAUUAUAAAUAUUUUCUAUGCCAUUACAAAUCAACGUUCUGUUAUUAUAUUGUUAUACUGUAUUAUUCAGCUUCUUGUUUGAUUACUAUUAUACUAAUUAAAGAUGUUUACAGCAAGUGAUUUGUUAUGGUCUAACAUGCUGAUCACACAACAAUAGAAUUUUGCAUGAGACUUUCUAUUCACCGGCACUUUAAAACACUCCAUUGAGUAACAUUUAUGCAAACUUUAAAUGAAUGAAAAUGUUAAAAACCUGGUAUUUGGAUGAAUAUUUUCUCUUGGAAUUGUAAUUGGUUUCUUCUCUCACCUUAAUUUCAGUUAGUAGAAUGUUUUAAUCUGCACUGAUCCCUAGCAGUGAGGAAGUUUCCAAGUGGCAUUGUUAGCAGUUGCCCAUGAAAUCAGCUUAUUAACAUCAAGAUAACUAUGUUAUGAAUCAAUAUGCAAUGGAUUUACCAAAAGAAUUAAAGUUAGAAUUACUUGUUGAUCCAUUGCCUGAUGAGGUCUUGCAUGACACAAUCAAAAAUAAUCUUAAAAAUGAACACUAAAUAUUUGGAGGAACAGUAGAGAAGGGGACCAUAACCCAGUUUGGAGUGAGGAAGAGAAAAAUCAGAAGAACUGUAGGUUAUAUUCUCUCUAUAUGUAGGUAGUGGCUUCUGAUGUGUGUCCAUGAAUGUUAGUUUACCUAGCCUAACGUUUGCCAGUCAUUUCCUUUAAUACCAAUAGUUAAUCAAAGCUUGAUUGCCAAUUAUUAAAUAUUGAAAGGUCCCUGUGUUUCUCAUUGCUUCAGGAGAAAGAAGGGAAAAGGAGAGGAAAUAAAGAAAAUAAAAGGAAAACAACUGAAAGCUGAAGGAGAAGUGUACAUUCUAGCUUUUGAUAAAAUGAUCUGUUUAUUAUUACUGACAGAUAAGUUCACUGCUUAAUGUACAAACUGAGGCCAGUAGUCAGCUGGUCAGAAUGAAAUACUGUGAACCACAUGGCUACCCUACAAGUACAUUCAAUAGAAGUUUAAUUGCAAUGACAAAAUUUUACUAAUGCUACAAAAUUAACCUUUUGAUUUGUUUUUAUACAGGAAUCAUUCAAUAUGUUAUGGCAUUUUAAGAUUCUUAUAUAGCCAUAUAAAAAUUAGACCCAAAAUUUGGACAAUUUUCACAAAUGUGGCCUGUGGAAAUGUUAUUUAUAUGCAUUCAUCAAGGUUCUAUUGCACUAUAAAAAUGUCUUGGGAGUGCAGGAGUAGACAAUCUGAGAAUAUUCAGGGCCUGGUUGAAAAUUUGUACAACAUUAGACUCUGGUAUAGGUUUUUACGUAUACUGAAUGAGAAUACAUAUUUAUUUGGAUUAUUUUCUGUUUGCUAGGAAAUAUCAACUCAAGUUGAUUGACUCACUAUAUAUGUAUAAUAAAGGAAAAUGUGUUAUCAAUAUAAUUAAAUCCACACUAAUAUUCUAG
This is an RNA transcript of Hypanus sabinus (Atlantic stingray), 12567 nucleotides long. RefSeq lists it as uncharacterized. The record is from RefSeq and is a predicted model, not a curated record. The transcript has 3 exons. NCBI's taxonomy places the organism in Eukaryota, Metazoa, Chordata, Chondrichthyes, Myliobatiformes, Dasyatidae.